UGGGGAAUAUUGGACUAUGGGCGAAAGCCUGAUCCAGCCAUGCCGCGUGAGUGAUGAAGGCCCUAGGGUUGUAAAGCUCUUUUGUGCGGGAAGAUAAUGACGGUACCGCAAGAAUAAGCCCCGGCUAACUUCGUGCCAGCAGCCGCGGUAAUACGAAGGGGGCUAGCGUUGCUCGGAAUUACUGGGCGUAAAGCGCACGUAGGCGGACUCUUAAGUCGGUGGUGAAAUCCUGGAGCUCAACUCCAGAACUGCCUUCGAUACUGGGAGUCUUGAGUUCGGGAGAGGUGAGUGGAACUGCGAGUGUAGAGGUGAAAUUCGUAGAUAUUCGCAAGAACACCAGUGGCGAAGGCGGCUCACUGGCCCGAUACUGACGCUGAGGUGCGAAAGCGUGGGGAGCAAAC
RNAcentral lists this ribosomal RNA (401 nucleotides) under uncultured bacterium. RNAcentral's name for it is "bacterial SSU rRNA". It matches the Rfam family "Bacterial small subunit ribosomal RNA", at positions 355 to 773 of the family's 1533-position model. The record is from RNAcentral.